UAAGCGGAGGAAAAGAAACUAACAAGGAUUCCCCUAGUAACGGCGAGUGAACCGGGAAGAGCUCAAAUUUGAAAUCUGGCGUCCUCAGGGCGUCCGAGUUGUAAUCUAUAGAGGCGUUUUCCGUGCCGGACCGUGUCCAAGUUCCUUGGAACAGGAUAUCAAAGAGGGUGACAAUCCCGUACUUGACACGACGACCGGUGCUCUGUGAUACGUCUUCUACGAGUCGAGUUGUUUGGGAAUGCAGCUCAAAAUGGGUGGUGAGUUCCAUCUAAAGCUAAAUAUUGGCGAGAGACCGAUAGCGAACAAGUACCGUGAGGGAAAGAUGAAAAGCACUUUGGAAAGAGAGUUAAACAGUACGUGAAAUUGUUGAAAGGGAAACGAUUGAAGUCAGUCGUGACCGAGAGGCUCAGCCGGCUCUGCCGGUGUAUUCCCCUCGGUCGGGUCAACAUCAGUUUUGUCCGGUGGAUAAGGGCGGUAGGAAGGUAGCACCCUCGGGUGUGUUAUAGCCUGCCGUCGCAUACAUCGGGUGAGACUGAGGAAUGCAGCUCGCCUUUAUGGCCGGGGUUCGCCCACGUCCGAGCUUAGGAUGUUGACAUAAUGGCUUUAAACGACCCGUCUUGAAACACGGACC
RNAcentral lists this unclassified non-coding RNA (631 nucleotides) under Papiliotrema aff. laurentii. RNAcentral's name for it is "sequence contains 28S rRNA gene". It matches the Rfam family "Eukaryotic large subunit ribosomal RNA", at positions 47 to 667 of the family's 3401-position model. Lineage: Eukaryota; Fungi; Basidiomycota; Tremellomycetes; Tremellales; Rhynchogastremaceae. The record is from RNAcentral.